Long non-coding RNA from Fundulus heteroclitus (mummichog), 2078 nucleotides. RefSeq lists it as uncharacterized. The record is from RefSeq and is a predicted model, not a curated record. Lineage: Eukaryota; Metazoa; Chordata; Actinopteri; Cyprinodontiformes; Fundulidae. The transcript is spliced from 4 exons.
UACAUAAAACAGGUUGAAAAUAAUUGUUGUCAUGUUAUUAGCCUAUUCUGUUGAUAUUUACAAUAAAUUGUACGCUUACUAACUUUGUUCACGUUGAGGAAUGUUUGUAAUGGUGUGAGGUUAGAUGUCUAAAUAUUUUCAGACAGGCAAGCAAAGUGGGCGAACCUAUGGCCCCCACGCAGCAGCUUGCUAUGUGCUAAAGAGCUACUGUGUUGAGUAAGUGGCCACAGCGCUGCCUGUUUAGUAGAUGCUUUUAUCUUGAGAGCGGGAUAUAGGCUGCUUAAGCUGCUGUUAGUCGAGGUGCAUGCGUCUCUCUCCCCCCUCCCCCCAUACAGUUAUCGCUGGGUCCGGUGUCGGCCAAGUGCCAUGUACUGUGCAGGGUAUGGCAGGCCGUUUUAACAUUUAUUAGCUUGACUGAAUAUGUAUACCAGACAUCUCAAAUACGGAAUAAGAUUUUUGCACUUAAAAUAAUUACAGUUCAUCUACAUCAUCUUAUUUCAAGUGCAGAAUAGCUAAUAACCUUCUUUUAGGGGUAAGAAUACUCAUUCCAUUGGCAAAUAGUCUUAUUUAGCUGCUCAAAUCAAGGAAGAAUACACUGAUUUCAAGAAAGUUUUACUCACUUUUAGUUCCCUUUUUGCAGUGCUAAAGUCUUGACUUAAUGUGUAUUUCAGAUAUCUCCAACAGAAUUCUUGCUAUCUAAAGUGGAAACUUUAGAUAUCUUAAAUAUAAUUAUUUAUAGUAGAAAUUACAUCACUUUUCCCAUUUAUGUGUAGUGGGAUUUUACUUUCGGAUAUCUAAAAUAACUUUCUUCCUAUCUAAAAUAAACUUUCUGGAUGUCUGAAAACUAAUCCUGGAUCUCCAUAAUCCAUUUUUUACCGGUCAUAGUUUUUAUUUCAGAUAUCAAAAAUCAAUGAUCAAAAGUUUUGAAACCAAUAUGUAAGACAUCCAACUUUGUAAAUUCCGCUUUCUGUCCGUCAAUUUGCGUUGGUAGUAAUUGACAGAAUUGCAAGAAAAGGGCAUGAAACUGAGCGAGCCCUUAGCCAGGGAAUGUGUAGCGACAGAGAGCGACGUUCAAUAGAAAGUUGUGUAAGAAACCUUCACAGAAUUGAACAUUUAUUGUCUACAGAAACCUACAAUGAACAGUAAAGCAGUUUGACUGAGGUUGGAGUGCUAGCAAUAGCUCAUUUCCAUCGAACCGAGGAUCGUCGUUUCUUCAUAAGGCGGGUUAGUUCAGGGCGGAGUGGCAGACCAUCUAUUGUUACCAGAGAGCACAUAGACGUCCUUAUGAAGCAAGGACAUACAAUCAAAAAAAAGGCAAAAAUGAUGGGAUGUUCCUCGUCGUUUUUGAACAACAAAUCAAAGCUGGUGGACCUACACAUAAGAGGAAGACUGUCUGCCUUAGAUGACAAUCAGCUGCAAGAGCGUGUGAGCACAUGGCAGGACCAGUAUCCAAACUCUGGGAAUGAGAUGAUGAGGGUGCUGCUUCGUGCUCAAGAUGUGAUUGUCACACGGGCCAGGGUACGCUAAAUGUUGGGAAGGACAAACCUGACAUCUGCUGCAAGAAGGUGGAGUCGGACUGUUGCAAGAUGGGGCUUUGUGAUACUUGGUGCCAUCGAAGGAUACCCGUGUGGGAUUACCUCAGCUGCAGUACAAACAAUAGGGCAACAACAGUACUCUGUCAGUUUUUGAAAGCAACAUCUUACUAUGGACUACCAUCAAGAGUCAGAUCAGACCAUGGGGAUGAAAACAUGCUGCUUGCUUUAUGCAUGCAUCUAGUUCAAGGGCUGGAACACAGAGGCUUCAUAACAGGAGAAUCAGUUCAUAAUCAGCGCAUAGAACACCUUUGGCAGGAUGUAUUUUUGCUUGUGCUGCAGCAUUUCUACCAUACAUUCUACUGUCUGGAGGACGCAGAGAAUCUUAACCCAGAUAAUGAUAUCCACAGACUUUCUUUACAUAUUGUAUAUCCACCUGAGAUUCAAAGGAGGCUGGAACAGUUCAGACAGGCUUGGUACCACCAUGGUUUGCCCACAGAAAGUAAUCACACAGCAGCUCGUCUGUAAUUCUGAUGCAGAAUACAU